Molecule: transfer RNA, 63 nt
Filed under: Cavia porcellus (domestic guinea pig)
Lineage: Eukaryota; Metazoa; Chordata; Mammalia; Rodentia; Caviidae
Rfam family: tRNA
About the family: Transfer RNA (tRNA) molecules are approximately 80 nucleotides in length. Their secondary structure includes four short double-helical elements and three loops (D, anti-codon, and T loops). Further hydrogen bonds mediate the characteristic L-shaped molecular structure. tRNAs have two regions of fundamental functional importance: the anti-codon, which is responsible for specific mRNA codon recognition, and the 3' end, to which the tRNAs corresponding amino acid is attached (by aminoacyl-tRNA synthetases). tRNAs cope with the degeneracy of the genetic code in two manners: having more than one tRNA (with a specific anti-codon) for a particular amino acid; and 'wobble' base-pairing, i.e. permitting non-standard base-pairing at the 3rd anti-codon position.
Source: Rfam by way of RNAcentral
UGGGAUUUAGCUCAGCAGCACAGCGCCUGCCUGGCAAGCACGAGGUCGUGAGUUCAAUCCCAG